Zea mays is the source of this 204-nucleotide non-coding RNA. NCBI's taxonomy places the organism in Eukaryota, Viridiplantae, Streptophyta, Magnoliopsida, Poales, Poaceae. The record is from Rfam.
AUACAUUUUUCGGUCUUUUGACUAAAAUAAAGUGUAAUAUUUGUUCUUAUUAGUUUAAUAUUUGGUAUGCGGACUAUAUGUUUUCUUCGAUAUUAAAUUUAUUUUUAUGGGUAUUUUUUAUGGGGAGGGUCUACCACACUGGCUUACUGGGCCCUCACGUAUCGCUCAGCUGUUGCACUGUUGGUAGGGCCUGGCCCACCCAAC